GACGAACGCUGGCGGCGUGCCUAAUACAUGCAAGUCGAACGAGAGCGACCGGUGCUUGCACUGGUCAAUCUAGUGGCGAACGGGUGAGUAACACGUGGGUAACCUGCCCAUCAGAGGGGGAUAACAUUCGGAAACGGAUGCUAAAACCGCAUAGGUCUUCGAACCGCAUGGUUUGAAGAGGAAAAGAGGCGCAAGCUUCUGCUGAUGGAUGGACCCGCGGUGCAUUAGCUAGUUGGUGAGGUAACGGCUCACCAAGGCCGUGAUGCAUAGCCGACCUGAGAGGGUGAUCGGCCACAUUGGAACUGAGACACGGCCCAAACUCCUACGGGAGGCAGCAGUAGGGAAUCUUCCGCAAUGGGCGCAAGUCUGACGGAGCAACGCCGCGUGAGUGAAGAAGGUUUUCGGAUCGUAAAACUCUGUUGUUAGAGAAGAAUAAGUGCGAGAGUAACUGUUAGCGCCUUGACGGUAUCUAACCAGAAAGCCACGGCUAACUACGUG
This 498-nucleotide ribosomal RNA is filed under the name uncultured bacterium. RNAcentral describes it as "partial 16S ribosomal RNA". It matches the Rfam family "Bacterial small subunit ribosomal RNA", at positions 28 to 507 of the family's 1533-position model. The record is from RNAcentral.